This 429-nucleotide ribosomal RNA is filed under the name Gemmatimonadota bacterium. RNAcentral's name for it is "Gemmatimonadetes bacterium partial 16S ribosomal RNA". It matches the Rfam family "Bacterial small subunit ribosomal RNA", at positions 355 to 776 of the family's 1533-position model. The record is from RNAcentral. Lineage: Bacteria; Pseudomonadati; Gemmatimonadota.
UAGGGAAUCUUCGGCAAUGGACGAAAGUCUGACCGAGCAACGCCGCGUGAGUGAAGAAGGUUUUCGGAUCGUAAAACUCUGUUGUUAGAGAAGAACAAGGACGUUAGUAACUGAACGUCCCCUGACGGUAUCUAACCAGAAAGCCACGGCUAACUACGUGCCAGCAGCCGCGGUAAUACGUAGGUGGCAAGCGUUGUCCGGAUUUAUUGGGCGUAAAGCGAGCGCAGGCGGUUUCUUAAGUCUGAUGUGAAAGCCCCCGGCUCAACCGGGGAGGGUCAUUGGAAACUGUGGGUCUUGAGUGCAGAAGAGGAGAGUGGAAUUCCAUGUGUAGCGGUGAAAUGCGUAGAUAUAUGGAGGAACACCAGUGGCGAAGGCGGCUCUCUGGUCUGUAACUGACGCUGAGGCUCGAAAGCGUGGGGAGCAAACAGG